RNAcentral lists this unclassified non-coding RNA (219 nucleotides) under Melitaea cinxia (Glanville fritillary). RNAcentral's name for it is "misc RNA ENSMCXG00005000329.1". Lineage: Eukaryota; Metazoa; Arthropoda; Insecta; Lepidoptera; Nymphalidae. The record is from RNAcentral.
ACACCUUUUCACCAUCUAUCGAGCAUACAUUUUAAAUUUCAAGUCUCUUACUUCAAAAACAUAGGACUUUCAUACAAACUUCAAACCCCCGUUUUACCCCCUUAGGGGUCGAGUUUCGUAAAAUCCGUUCUUAGCGGAUGCCUACGUCUUAUAAGGAGCUUACCUGCCAAAUUUCAAGUUUGUAGGUGUUAUAGUUUGGGAGAUUUCGUGAUGAGUGAG